GACGAACGCUGACGGUGUGCUUUAGACAUGCAAGUCGAACGAGAAAGCCUUUCGGGGUUAGUAAAGUGGCGAACGGGUGAGUAACACGUGGGCAAUCUGCCCCUCGCAGGGGGACAACCGGAGGAAACUCCGGCUAAUACCCCGUAAGUUCAAAGGGAGGCAUCUCUCUUCGAAGAAAGGUAGCUUCGGCCAUCCGGCGAGGGAUGAGCCCGCGGUGCAUUAGCUAGUUGGUGGGGUAACGGCCUACCAAGGCGACGAUGCAUAGCUGGUCUGAGAGGUGAUCAGCCACACUGGGACUGAGACACGGCCCAGACUCCUACGGGAGGCAGCAGUCGGGAAUCUUGCGCAAUGGGCGAAAGCCUGACGCAGCAACACCGUGU
RNAcentral lists this ribosomal RNA (380 nucleotides) under uncultured bacterium. RNAcentral describes it as "bacterial SSU rRNA". It matches the Rfam family "Bacterial small subunit ribosomal RNA", at positions 28 to 402 of the family's 1533-position model. The record is from RNAcentral.